UGAUGUUGAUGAGGGCAGCUCAUCAACAUCGAUUUAAAACUGUCCCAAGCUUGGUAUAAUUUUUCUCCACCUUUUUGUCUAAAACUUAAGAUAUCACUCUUCAAUUU
Molecule: small nucleolar RNA, 107 nt
Organism: Solanum pennellii
Lineage: Eukaryota; Viridiplantae; Streptophyta; Magnoliopsida; Solanales; Solanaceae
Source: RefSeq, a predicted model, not a curated record